CAGUAGCCGCGGUAAUACGUAGGUGGCAAGCGUUGUCCGGAAUUAUUGGGCGUAAAGGGCUCGCAGGCGGUUUCUUAAGUCUGAUGUGAAGGCCCCCGGCUCAACCGGGGACGGUCAUUGGAAACUGGGAAACUUGAGUGCAGAAGAGGAGAGUGGAAUUCCACGUGUAGCGGUGAAAUGCGUAGAGAUAUGGAGGAACACCAGUGGCGAAGGCGACUCUCUGGUCAGUAACUGACGCUGAGGAGCGAAAGCGUGGGGAGCGAACAGGAUUAGAUACCCCUGUAGUCCCUGUCUCUUAUAC
Molecule: ribosomal RNA, 301 nt
Filed under: uncultured bacterium
Lineage: Bacteria
Description: partial 16S ribosomal RNA
Rfam family: Bacterial small subunit ribosomal RNA
Source: RNAcentral